AGAGAGAGAGAGAGAAAGAGAAGAGGAAAAAAAAGAAAAAGCUCAUGGUGUGGGGGGAGAGGUGGGUGUGUUUGGGGUUGGCUGGGUUUGAAAAUCUUUUUAACUAUAACAUUCUAGGCAUUCUUUGUACCCCUCAAUUUGUUGAGAAUAUAGUGCACUUGAAUGAAAUUUUUCCCAGGACGGUGUCUUCAAGAAAAGAGCCUAAAACUUGUCAUUUACUUGGAAAAAUCUACUUCUGGUGACAGCAAUUAAGAGAGAGAUUUCCGAAGAUGAGAAUUCAUAUACAGGGGAGGCCAAAUUUCUUAUUUUCUAACUUGCACCAGCUUGCUGAUCUCUGUGGUUGAUAGGUAGAUAAAGGAAAUUUAUCUGCAUUGGUGGUUCUGGUGUGUCCAGUUUUGGUUUUGGUAUCUCAUACCAUAAAAGUAUCAUUAAAGAAAUCAAAAUGCACGUUAUCUUUUUCUUGAUCUUAAUGUAUUACCAUUACACAUAUCAUAGAUAUGUUCCCAGUAUUACAGGUUUAUGCCAUUGUGGGUUUAAUUAUUAGCUGGUCUCGUCAUUGAUUUUAACAGAGUAUGCUCAGCAGGGAUUUCAGCACUUUGUCAAUUGGGUUGCUUUGCAACCUAGCUUAAACAAGCUUCUCUUAUAAAGAUCCCAACCCAUGGUUCCUCCCUCCUUCACUGGUUUAGAAAUUGAUCUGUGUCCUGGCGUUCUUUAUGAGACAAUAGUUUGAUGCCCUUACGCCAUGAGGUAUUGUUCCCAGAUUUUUAUCUUUACUUUUAUUUUCCCUUUGGGUAUCACUUUGUUGCAUUGCAAAUGGUUAGAGAACUGAUUGAAAAUAUGGGUUUCAUGGAAGUUUAUCGUUCCAUACUCUUCACUCUUAUACAUGCCGUACUUAUUGCAUCUUGGAAGUUUUAAGAUUUGAACCAUUGUAUUUGCACACUGCCAUCAGGAGAGAACACAAUGGUUGUUUUGUGGUGUGGUGU
This 983-nucleotide unclassified non-coding RNA is filed under the name Hevea brasiliensis (rubber tree). The record is from RNAcentral. Lineage: Eukaryota; Viridiplantae; Streptophyta; Magnoliopsida; Malpighiales; Euphorbiaceae.